AAAAAGUUAGUUUAAUAAAAACAUUAAUUUGUCAAAUUAAAAAUAUAAAAUUUAUACUUUUUU
This 63-nucleotide transfer RNA is filed under the name Ceratocombus japonicus. Its description in RNAcentral is "tRNA-Asp". The record is from RNAcentral. Lineage: Eukaryota; Metazoa; Arthropoda; Insecta; Hemiptera; Ceratocombidae.